RNAcentral lists this ribosomal RNA (253 nucleotides) under uncultured bacterium. Its description in RNAcentral is "partial 16S ribosomal RNA". It matches the Rfam family "Bacterial small subunit ribosomal RNA", at positions 524 to 776 of the family's 1533-position model. The record is from RNAcentral.
UACGUAGGGGGCUAGCGUUGUCCGGAAUCAUUGGGCGUAAAGAGCGUGUAGGCGGCCAGGUAGGUCGGUUGUGAAAACUGGAGGCUCAACCUUCAGAGGUCGACCGAAACCACCUGGCUAGAGUCCGGGAGAGGAGAGUGGAAUUCCUGGUGUAGCGGUGAAAUGCGCAGAUAUCAGGAAGAACACCCGUGGCGAAAGCGGCUCUCUGGAACGGUACUGACGCUGAGACGCGAAAGCGUGGGGAGCGAACAGG